CAGAGUGUGCAGCUGAAUAUUUUAUGCUGGAAAACACUUGGUUUGCUAUUUUUGAUGAAAACAAAACCGUUAUUCAUUCAAAUACGAAUACCAAACUUGUUUUUGCAUGGAUUCCAUGACGCGGUUAGCUUUUAACAGCUAGGACCGCUAUUUCUUGUCUCGGAAUCCCGCUUAGCAGACAGGUUGAAGCCUGCUUGACAGAGACGCUGUGCUGCUAGCCAUCGAGCUAACGAAGUUGGUACCAGAGGAGUUUUGCAAUGGAGCCCUCUUUGUCUGGAGAAAUAAAUUAACGGUUCCAACACUGUAGGAGCUGUAUCUACUGCGCUUUUUUUCUUGACAAACCGGAUCACUCGGAGUUCCGGGGCUUCUCACAAUCACUCGGGGCUUCUCCAUCUGUCGGAAUGCCUGCACCAGGUGCCGGGAGCAACGGGCUCAAGUUAUCCUGCCGCUCACCUGUUCAUAAAGAGUUCUCCGAAUCCUGUGACGCGUGGGAGUGGGCGGAUUUCCAGGUCAUUCUCGCCAGCCGUGAUUUUGGGCAGCUUCAUGGUAACCAUUCCUGGUGCAGAAACAAUGUCCUACCCCAGAGCGUGUCGCCCAUCUUCCCAUUAUCCCCUGUGUAUUUAUACCUGUGUUCUUUUUUUGUCUGUUGCCAGUUCGUCUUGUCAUUUCUUACCAGCAUUCUUUCCCACCUUCCUGUUGCUCUAGUUCUGUUUCCUAGUUAUUCCCGGUUCUGACCAGUCUGCCUGCCCCGACCCCGAGCCUGCCUGCUGUCCUGUGCCUGCCUGACUCUGACCUGAUUACGAACCACUGCCUGCCCUGACCCCGAGCCUGCCUGCCAUCCUGUACCUGCCUGACCUUGACCUGAUCACGAACUUCUGCCUGCCCUCGACCUGCCCUUUGCCUGCCCCGUGUUUCUAAUAAAUAAUCUGAGAACUGUA
This is a long non-coding RNA of Salvelinus namaycush (lake trout), 938 nucleotides long. RefSeq lists it as uncharacterized. The transcript is spliced from 2 exons. The record is from RefSeq and is a predicted model, not a curated record. NCBI's taxonomy places the organism in Eukaryota, Metazoa, Chordata, Actinopteri, Salmoniformes, Salmonidae.